RNAcentral lists this ribosomal RNA (549 nucleotides) under Salmonella enterica subsp. enterica serovar Enteritidis. RNAcentral's name for it is "bacterial SSU rRNA". It matches the Rfam family "Bacterial small subunit ribosomal RNA", at positions 86 to 631 of the family's 1533-position model. Lineage: Bacteria; Pseudomonadati; Pseudomonadota; Gammaproteobacteria; Enterobacterales; Enterobacteriaceae. The record is from RNAcentral.
CGCUGACGAGUGGCGGACGGGUGAGUAAUGUCUGGGAAACUGCCUGAUGGAGGGGGAUAACUACUGGAAACGGUGGCUAAUACCGCAUAACGUCGCAAGACCAAAGAGGGGGACCUUCGGGCCUCUUGCCAUCAGAUGUGCCCAGAUGGGAUUAGCUUGUUGGUGAGGUAACGGCUCACCAAGGCGACGAUCCCUAGCUGGUCUGAGAGGAUGACCAGCCACACUGGAACUGAGACACGGUCCAGACUCCUACGGGAGGCAGCAGUGGGGAAUAUUGCACAAUGGGCGCAAGCCUGAUGCAGCCAUGCCGCGUGUAUGAAGAAGGCCUUCGGGUUGUAAAGUACUUUCAGCGGGGAGGAAGGUGUUGUGGUUAAUAACCGCAGCAAUUGACGUUACCCGCAGAAGAAGCACCGGCUAACUCCGUGCCAGCAGCCGCGGUAAUACGGAGGGUGCAAGCGUUAAUCGGAAUUACUGGGCGUAAAGCGCACGCAGGCGGUCUGUCAAGUCGGAUGUGAAAUCCCCGGGCUCAACCUGGGAACUGCAUUCGAA